Molecule: ribosomal RNA, 322 nt
Filed under: uncultured eukaryote
Lineage: Eukaryota
Description: partial 18S ribosomal RNA
Rfam family: Eukaryotic small subunit ribosomal RNA
Source: RNAcentral
CCCUUAGAUGUUCCGGGCCGCACGCGUGCUACACUGAGUGGAUCAGCGGGUCAGGUUGCGCGAAAGUGUUUCCUAAUCUUUAAAUCCGCUCGUGAUGGGGAUUGACGGUUGCAAUUUUCCGUCAUGAACGAGGAAUACCUUGUAAGCGCGGGUCAUCAUCCCGCGCUGAAUACGUCCCUGCCCUUUGUACACACCGCCCGUCGCUCCUACCGAUUGAGUGGUCCGGUGAGGCUUUGGGAUCUGAGCGGAAAGAGCGUUUCGCUGUUUCUGCCCGGAAAACUCAGUCGAACCUUAUCAUUUAGAGGAAGGAGAAGUCGUAACA